Long non-coding RNA from Asparagus officinalis (garden asparagus), 626 nucleotides. RefSeq lists it as uncharacterized. The record is from RefSeq and is a predicted model, not a curated record. The transcript is spliced from 2 exons. Lineage: Eukaryota; Viridiplantae; Streptophyta; Magnoliopsida; Asparagales; Asparagaceae.
UCUCUGCCGUCCUCUCCCAAAAAUCUGCGAGCUCGUCGGCCGCCGUGCCCCAAAGACACCACACCUGAUCGAGCCCUCUGAGCCGCCGCAUUCGCCUGCAACAGAUCCACCUGAUCUCGAUCUCCGCCGCGAGCCCUCUGAGCCCUCUGAGCUGUAGGAGUUUGGAAUGGAGUCAGAAAAUUCAACUACUGUAGAAUUCGGAAUGGGAGAAGCAAGUGUCAUUGGAAGUGGAAUUGCGGCCAAUACUGUAAAUCAUCCUAAACCACUACUUGGAAUGAAGUUUAAUAGUUAUGAAGAAGCUUAUAACUAUUAUAACUCUUAUUCAUUGUUGAUGGGUUUUGGAAUAAGGAAGAGCACGGUAAAUUACUCUCGUAAAACUAGAGAAGUGGUAGACAAAAAGUUUGUUUGUGAUAAGGAGGGCUAUAAAUCUAAUAGAGACAAGAUAGAGAUCUCUCUUCGGCGAGAGACGCGAGUGGGAUGUUGUAACUCAUGAUGUAACUCUGUUUGAUGCUUGUAGCUUUGCUGUGGCUUAUAUUCAGCUACUCAUAUGCAGCUAUCUUGUAAUGAUUAUUCAGCUACUUUGGUGUGAUUUGAGCUUAUGAUGCUUGUAGCUUUGCUGUGGCUUA